GCCUCGUUGGCUUAGUGGUAAAGCGCAUCACUAGUAAUGAUGAGAUCACUGGUUCGAUUCCAGUACGAGGCA
Molecule: transfer RNA, 72 nt
Organism: Verticillium dahliae VdLs.17
Lineage: Eukaryota; Fungi; Ascomycota; Sordariomycetes; Glomerellales; Plectosphaerellaceae
Rfam family: tRNA
About the family: Transfer RNA (tRNA) molecules are approximately 80 nucleotides in length. Their secondary structure includes four short double-helical elements and three loops (D, anti-codon, and T loops). Further hydrogen bonds mediate the characteristic L-shaped molecular structure. tRNAs have two regions of fundamental functional importance: the anti-codon, which is responsible for specific mRNA codon recognition, and the 3' end, to which the tRNAs corresponding amino acid is attached (by aminoacyl-tRNA synthetases). tRNAs cope with the degeneracy of the genetic code in two manners: having more than one tRNA (with a specific anti-codon) for a particular amino acid; and 'wobble' base-pairing, i.e. permitting non-standard base-pairing at the 3rd anti-codon position.
Source: Rfam